RNAcentral lists this ribosomal RNA (253 nucleotides) under uncultured bacterium. RNAcentral's name for it is "partial 16S ribosomal RNA". It matches the Rfam family "Bacterial small subunit ribosomal RNA", at positions 524 to 776 of the family's 1533-position model. The record is from RNAcentral.
GACGAACCGAGCGAACGUUGUUCGGAAUCACUGGACUUAAAGGGCGCGUAGGCGGGUGCUCAAGUCUGUGGUGAAAUCCUCCAGCUUAACUGGAGAACUGCCGUGGAUACCGGGUAUCUCGAGGAAGAUAGGGGUAUGCGGAACGAUUGGUGGAGCGGUGAAAUGCGUUGAUAUCAAUCGGAACUCCGGUGGCGAAGGCGGCAUACUGGAUCUUAUCUGACGCUGAGGCGCGAAAGCCAGGGGAGCAAACGGG